RNAcentral lists this unclassified non-coding RNA (315 nucleotides) under rhizosphere metagenome. RNAcentral's name for it is "partial ribosomal RNA internal transcribed spacer region". The record is from RNAcentral.
GUAGGUGAACCUGCGGAAGGAUCAUUAACACGUUAUCCACGUAUCAACCAAACCGUGAACUUGAAUCGUAUGCCAGUUACGCUGUCGAGAGGGAGUGAAGAAGGGAUUCUUCUCUCUGCUUUCCCCAGUGUUUUAACUGCCAUCGUUGUUUCAAUUACCAAAAUCACCCCUGAUGUCUUCUCUUUUUCUUCCUCACGGGAGAAGGAGAAAAACAUUGGUUUUCUCUAUAUUUCUUAUUGAAGCUCAGGGCCUUUUGCGGCUUUGUCUUCUAACACAAACUCUGUACAACUCUUAGCAACGGAUAUCUUGGUUUCC